RNAcentral lists this ribosomal RNA (923 nucleotides) under uncultured Bacillota bacterium. RNAcentral describes it as "bacterial SSU rRNA". It matches the Rfam family "Bacterial small subunit ribosomal RNA", at positions 58 to 1012 of the family's 1533-position model. Lineage: Bacteria; Bacillati; Bacillota. The record is from RNAcentral.
CAAGUCGAACGAGAAAGGGGAGCAAUCCCUGAGUACAGUGGCGUACGGGUGAGUAACACGUGGAUGAUCUACCCCUUAGUGUGGAAUAACUCUGGGAAACCGGAGCUAAUACCGCAUAAGCUCGAGAGAGGAAAGCAGCAAUGCGCUGAGGGUGGAGUCCGCGGCCGAUUAGCUAGUUGGCAGGGUAAAAGCCUACCAAGGCAGAGAUCGGUAGCCGGCCUGAGAGGGCACACGGCCACACUGGCACUGAAACACGGGCCAGACUCCUACGGGAGGCAGCAGUGGGGAAUCUUGCACAAUGGGGGAAACCCUGAUGCAGCGACGCCGCGUGAGCGAUGAAGCCCUUCGGGGUGUAAAGCUCUUUCGGCAGGGAAGAUAAUGACGGUACCUGCAGAAGCAGCUGCGGCUAACUACGUGCCAGCAGCCGCGGUAAUACGUAGGCAGCAAGCGUUGUUCGGAGUUACUGGGCGUAAAGGGUGUGUAGGCGGUUGUUUAAGUUUGGUGUGAAAUCUCCCGGCUCAACUGGGAGGGUGCGCCGAAUACUGAAUGACUAGAGUGCGGGAGAGGAAAGUGGAAUUCCUGGUGUAGCGGUGAAAUGCGUAGAUAUCAGGAGGAACACCGGUGGUGUAGACGGCUUUCUGGACCGUAACUGACGCUGAGACACGAAAGCGUGGGUAGCAAACAGGAUUAGAUACCCUGGUAGUCCACGCCCUAAACGAUGCAUAUUUGGUGUGGGCAGUUCAUUCUGUCCGUGCCGGAGCUAACGCGUUAAAUAUGCCGCCUGGGGAGUACAGUCGCAAGGCUGAAACUCAAAGGAAUUGACGGGGGCCCGCACAAGCGGUGGAGCAUGUGGUUCAAUUCGACGCACCGCGAAGAACCUUACCUGGGCUCGAACGGCUUCUCAACGCCGGUGGAAACACCGU